RNAcentral lists this ribosomal RNA (441 nucleotides) under uncultured bacterium. RNAcentral describes it as "bacterial SSU rRNA". It matches the Rfam family "Bacterial small subunit ribosomal RNA", at positions 355 to 796 of the family's 1533-position model. The record is from RNAcentral.
UAAGGAAUAUUGCUCAAUGGCCGAAAGGCUGAAGCAGCAACGCCGCGUGAAGGAUGAAGGCCUUUUGGUUGUAAACUUCUGUAGAGAAAGAGAAAACCUCCAUUCUAUGGAGAUUGAUAGUAUUUCUAAAGUAAGCCCCGGCUAACUACGUGCCAGCAGCCGCGGUAAUACGUAGGGGGCAAGCGUUGUCCGGAUUUACUGGGUGUAAAGGGUGCUCAGGUGGUCUGAUAAGUCAGAGGUGAAAGCCCAGGGCUCAACCCUGGAACUGCCUUUGAUACUAUCAGGCUUGAGUAUGGAAGAGGUUGAUGGAAUUUCUGGUGUAGCAGUGAAAUGCGUAGAUAUCAGAAAGAACACCAGUGGCGAAGGCGGUCAACUGGUCCAUUACUGACACUAAAGCACGAAAGCGUGGGGAGCAAACAGGAUUAGAUACCCCUGUAGUCC